UAGGGAAUCUUCGGCAAUGGACGAAAGUCUGACCGAGCAACGCCGCGUGAGUGAAGAAGGUUUUCGGAUCGUAAAACUCUGUUGUUAGAGAAGAACAAGUACGUUAGUAACUGAACGUCCCCUGACGGUAUCUAACCAGAAAGCCACGGCUAACUACGUGCCAGCAGCCGCGGUAAUACGUAGGUGGCAAGCGUUGUCCGGAUUUAUUGGGCGUAAAGCGAGCGCAGGCGGUUUCUUAAGUCUGAUGUGAAAGCCCCCGGCUCAACCGGGGAGGGUCAGUGGAAACUGGGAGACUUGAGUGCAGAAGAGGAGAGUGGAAUUCCAUGUGUAGCGGUGAAAUGCGUAGAUAUAUGGAGGAACACCAGUGGCGAAAGCGGCUCUCUGGUCUGUAACUGACGCUGAGGCUCGAAAGCGUGGGGAGCAAACAGG
Molecule: ribosomal RNA, 429 nt
Filed under: Gemmatimonadota bacterium
Lineage: Bacteria; Pseudomonadati; Gemmatimonadota
Description: Gemmatimonadetes bacterium partial 16S ribosomal RNA
Rfam family: Bacterial small subunit ribosomal RNA
Source: RNAcentral